Molecule: unclassified non-coding RNA, 591 nt
Filed under: Trichoderma virens
Lineage: Eukaryota; Fungi; Ascomycota; Sordariomycetes; Hypocreales; Hypocreaceae
Description: sequence contains ITS1, 5.8S rRNA gene, ITS2
Rfam family: 5.8S ribosomal RNA (bases 216-369)
Source: RNAcentral
GCGGAGGGAUCAUUACCGAGUUUACAACUCCCAAACCCAAUGUGAACGUUACCAAACUGUUGCCUCGGCGGGAUCUCUGCCCCGGGUGCGUCGCAGCCCCGGACCAAGGCGCCCGCCGGAGGACCAACCAAAACUCUUAUUGUAUACCCCCUCGCGGGUUUUUUACUAUCUGAGCCAUCUCGGCGCCCCUCGUGGGCGUUUCGAAAAUGAAUCAAAACUUUCAACAACGGAUCUCUUGGUUCUGGCAUCGAUGAAGAACGCAGCGAAAUGCGAUAAGUAAUGUGAAUUGCAGAAUUCAGUGAAUCAUCGAAUCUUUGAACGCACAUUGCGCCCGCCAGUAUUCUGGCGGGCAUGCCUGUCCGAGCGUCAUUUCAACCCUCGAACCCCUCCGGGGGGUCGGCGUUGGGGAUCGGCCCUUUACGGGGCCGGCCCCGAAAUACAGUGGCGGUCUCGCCGCAGCCUCUCCUGCGCAGUAGUUUGCACACUCGCAUCGGGAGCGCGGCGCGUCCACAGCCGUUAAACACCCCAAACUUCUGAAAUGUUGACCUCGGAUCAGGUAGGAAUACCCGCUGAACUUAAGCAUAUCAAUAA